This 378-nucleotide unclassified non-coding RNA is filed under the name uncultured fungus. Its description in RNAcentral is "partial internal transcribed spacer 2". The record is from RNAcentral. Lineage: Eukaryota; Fungi.
AACGCAAGUUGCGCUGCCCUUUACGGGGCAGCAUGCCUCUUUGAGUGUCGGUUUCCAUUCGCCUCUGCGGCCCUUUUUCGAAGGGGCGCGCAGGACACUGGGCGUCGCUGCACACAGCAGCGUCGCCUGAAGAGUCGCGACGUCGGUCCCCGGGGCUUCCCAGCGCGGCUGUGCUCUCCGUGUGGGCGUGGGUAGGUGCGUUCUCGCACACGACACGUCCCGCACGCGCGCAGCCGCCGCCCCGCGGGCAGUAACGUGCGCCGGCCCCGACGUCUCACAAACGUCGGCCCGCCCGGCCGCCCACGGCAGCGCUCGCUGCCGGGGCGAACCCCCUCAACCUUCGACCUCAAAUGAAGCAAGAAGACCCGCCGAAUUUAA